AGAAUCAACGCUGGCGGCGUGCCUAACACAUGCAAGUCGCACGAGAAAGUGGAGCAAUCCAUGAGUAAAGUGGCGCACGGGUGAGUAACACGUGAAUUAUCUACCUCCGAGUGGGGAAUAACUGAGAGAAAUCUGGGCUAAUACCGCAUAAUACCUUCGGGUCAAAGGAGCAAUUCGCUUAAGGAGGGGGUCGCGGCCGAUUAGUUAGUUGGCGGGGUAAUGGCCCACCAAGACUAUGAUCGGUA
RNAcentral lists this ribosomal RNA (245 nucleotides) under uncultured bacterium. RNAcentral describes it as "partial small subunit ribosomal RNA". It matches the Rfam family "Bacterial small subunit ribosomal RNA", at positions 26 to 285 of the family's 1533-position model. The record is from RNAcentral.